This 30-nucleotide non-coding RNA is filed under the name Cricetulus griseus (Chinese hamster). Lineage: Eukaryota; Metazoa; Chordata; Mammalia; Rodentia; Cricetidae. The record is from RNAcentral.
AGAUUUUAGAAUAUAGGGAUUUAGAAAACC